Molecule: ribosomal RNA, 465 nt
Filed under: Vreelandella stevensii
Lineage: Bacteria; Pseudomonadati; Pseudomonadota; Gammaproteobacteria; Oceanospirillales; Halomonadaceae
Description: partial 16S ribosomal RNA
Rfam family: Bacterial small subunit ribosomal RNA
Source: RNAcentral
CCUACGGGUGGCUGCAGUGGGGAAUAUUGGACAAUGGGGGCAACCCUGAUCCAGCCAUGCCGCGUGUGUGAAGAAGGCCCUCGGGUUGUAAAGCACUUUCAGUGAGGAAGAACGCCUGGUGGUUAAUACCCAUCAGGAAAGACAUCACUCACAGAAGAAGCACCGGCUAACUCCGUGCCAGCAGCCGCGGUAAUACGGAGGGUGCGAGCGUUAAUCGGAAUUACUGGGCGUAAAGCGCGCGUAGGUGGCUUGAUAAGCCGGUUGUGAAAGCCCCGGGCUCAACCUGGGAACGGCAUCCGGAACCGUCAAGCUAGAGUGCAGGAGAGGAAGGUAGGAUUCCCGGUGGCGCGGUGAAAUGCGUAGAGGUCGGGAGGAAUACCAGUGGCGAAGGCGGCCUUCUGGACUGACAAUGACACUGAGGUGCGAAAGCGUGGGUAGCCAACCGGAUUAGAUACCCCGGUAGUC